AACUAACGCUGGCGGCGUGCCUAACACAUGCAAGUCGUACGAGAAAGCCGGCUUCGGCUGGUGAGUAAAGUGGCGCACGGGUGAGUAACGCGUGGAUAAUCUGCCCUUAAGUGUGGAAUAACGUACCGAAAGGUGCGCUAAUACCGCAUAAUGCCUGGCAACACAAGUUGUCCGGCCAAAGAAGGCCUCUGUUUACAAGCUUUCGCUUCAGGAUGAGUCCGCGUACCAUUAGCUUGUUGGUGGGGUAAUGGCCUACCAAGGCGACGAUCAGUAGCCGGCCUGAGAGGGUGAACGGCCACACUGGGACUGAGACACGGCCCAGACUCCUACGGGAGGCAGCAGUGGGGAAUAUUGCGCAAGUGGGGGAAACCCUGACGCAGCGACGCCGCGUGAGCGAAGAAGGCCUUAGGGUCGUAAAGCUCUGUUUUAAGGGACGAAUGUCGCGGGUAAUAAUACGAUCUGCGAAUGACGGUACCUUAAGAGGAAGCCCCGGCUAACUACGUGCCAGCAGCCG
RNAcentral lists this ribosomal RNA (514 nucleotides) under uncultured bacterium. RNAcentral's name for it is "bacterial SSU rRNA". It matches the Rfam family "Bacterial small subunit ribosomal RNA", at positions 29 to 517 of the family's 1533-position model. The record is from RNAcentral.